RNAcentral lists this ribosomal RNA (270 nucleotides) under uncultured archaeon. Its description in RNAcentral is "partial 16S ribosomal RNA". It matches the Rfam family "Archaeal small subunit ribosomal RNA", at positions 477 to 747 of the family's 1478-position model. The record is from RNAcentral.
CAGCAGCUCGAGUGGUGGUCGUUAUUAUUGAGCCUAAAGCGUCCGUAGCCUGGCUAGUAAACCCUUGGGUAAAUCGGGGAGCUCAACUCUCCGACUUCCGAGGAGACUGCUAGCCUUGGGACUGGGAGAGGUCGGAGGAACUCUAGGGGUAGGGGUGAAAUCCUGUAAUCCUUAGUGGACCACCAGUGGCGAAGGCGUCCGACUAGAACGGGUCCGACGGUGAGGGACGAAGCCCAGGGGAACAAACCGGAUUAGAUACCCGAGUAGUCC